ACGCCGCUCAGAACUAAGGAAUUGACGGGGCCCGCACAAGCGGUGGAGCAUGUGGUUUAAUUCGACGCAACGCGCAGAACCUACCAGCCCUUGACAUGGGGUCGCGGGUACCAGAGACGGUACCCUUCAGUUCGGCUGGACCCCACACAGGUGCUGCAUGGCUGUCGUCAGCUCGUGUCGUGAGAUGUUGGGUUAAGUCCCGCAACGAGCGCAACCCUCAUCUUCAGUUGCCAGCGGUUAGGCCGGGCACUCUGAAGAAACUGCCGGUGACAAGCCGGAGGAAGGUGGGGAUGACGUCAAGUCCUCAUGGCCCUUAUGGGCUGGGCUACACACGUGCUACAAUGACGGUGACAACGGGAAGCGACAGGGCGACCUUGAGCUAAUCCCCAAAAGCCGUCUCAGUUCGGAUUGUACUCUGCAACUCGGGUGCAUGAAGGCGGAAUCGCUAGUAAUCGCGGAUCAGCACGCCGCGGUGAAUACGUUCCCGGGCCUU
Molecule: ribosomal RNA, 493 nt
Filed under: uncultured Defluviicoccus sp.
Lineage: Bacteria; Pseudomonadati; Pseudomonadota; Alphaproteobacteria; Rhodospirillales; Rhodospirillaceae
Description: bacterial SSU rRNA
Rfam family: Bacterial small subunit ribosomal RNA
Source: RNAcentral